GGCAACGGCGAAGGGAGUUCUCCGGCAGCAGCAGUGGCCAAGUGGUUGUUGCUUCAGCAAGAGUUGUUUAAGCCCAUAUGUGUUGAGGUGUGGAUUUUCGAUGGCGAAUCAGAGUGUUUGCACCAAACGGAGCAAUGGUGGGAAACCAGCAAAGGGAACUGCAUUUCGAUAAGUGGGUGGCCCUUCAUCGAUGAUCAGAGCAAAGGCUUAAUGGCCCGAGAAAAAAAGAGUACACGAAGUACUGCCAAGGGAACAACUUGCGUUAAGGGAAAGGAAAAUGCAUCGGAAUGAUUCUUUGAAUUUGUAUAGAGUUCUUACAAAAAAAGUAUAUAGCAUACUUAUUUUUUUAUUUACCGUACGCAGGUUCGACAUCUUUCAAGUUUCUCUAUCAACACUACGCAGGUUGGACAUCUUUCAAGUCUCUCUAUCAACACUACGCAGGUUCGACCUCCUCAAUAAGCAAUGUUGGGAUUGUGAUACAUGACAAGCAAAACGUCAGUGGCAUCCGUAGCAAUGGACGAUGGAAGACAAGAAUCGACUCAACCAAAACAAAUGUCAAAGGGAAAGAAAAGGCAACCUAUGCCAUGGGAAAUGAAAAUGAACGGAUUCAACCUCUUCGAGACAGAAAUAUUGGAAUAGUAAUCUGCGAUGAGUGGGACCACGAUGUCAUCCAUGUUGGGAAUGGAAAGGAAAAUUCACGGGUAUCUUUUAUCUUUCUUUUGAUAGUUUUAAUAAAUAUCCGGAGUCAAAUAGCAAAUUGUGGAGCAUCUCUAAAUUACACCUUUGUCUUCUUUGAGUCUAAUUGAACUUACCCGAUUUAAUAGCAUGGAAAGGUAGCCAUUUUCCCAAUUUGGUAUCUGCAAUUGCAGCACAUGAUUUUGAGAAUGGCUGGAAAGGAUUAGUACUCACUACUCAGGCUUGAAGCCAAUAUCCAAUCUUUUGAAGCAUUCUACUGAGAUUGUUAAGUUCAAUGCUUCUUUGAUCCGUGGCGUGACCAUUUGUUAUGUCCUUCGCUAGGUUGUUAAUAACAGUGAGAGAGUAAUUGCAGAAACUAACCCAUUCUAAUGAAGCCAAGGAUUUGGACCACAUGAAAUUUUGAUAUGAGAGUUGAUAAAGCUAUUUGAUAUGGUACCAUCAAAUGGGAGAUUGGACUAAAGCAAAAUUAGUAAUCAUUUACUUAGCAUUCAAUCAUUUUGGGGAUAGAGAAACUUCAGGUUUAGCAUUUGUGGUGGGGAUUUUGGACCAAAUGGAAUUCAAGGCUUCCUCAUUCAAUAUUGAAGUGAUAUUACCAAUUUUUUUGUUGGUCCUUUUUUAUAUUCCAUCAAAGUUAGGUAUAACAUUU
Long non-coding RNA from Rhododendron vialii, 1342 nucleotides. RefSeq lists it as uncharacterized. The transcript is spliced from 5 exons. The record is from RefSeq and is a predicted model, not a curated record. NCBI's taxonomy places the organism in Eukaryota, Viridiplantae, Streptophyta, Magnoliopsida, Ericales, Ericaceae.